Molecule: ribosomal RNA, 785 nt
Filed under: uncultured Glomus
Lineage: Eukaryota; Fungi; Glomeromycota; Glomeromycetes; Glomerales; Glomeraceae
Description: SSU rRNA
Rfam family: Eukaryotic small subunit ribosomal RNA
Source: RNAcentral
AUGGUAGGAUAGAGGCCUACCAUGGUGGUAACGGGUAACGGGGUGUUAGGGCACGACACCGGAGAGGGAGCCUGAGAAACGGCUACCACAUCCAAGGAAGGCAGCAGGCGCGCAAAUUACCCAAUCCCGACACGGGGAGGUAGUGACAAUAAAUAACAAUACAGGGUUCUUUGAAUCUUGUAAUUGGAAUGAGUACAAUUUAAAUCUCUUAACGAGGAACAAUUGGAGGGCAAGUCUGGUGCCAGCAGCCGCGGUAAUUCCAGCUCCAAUAGCGUAUAUUAAAGUUGUUGCAGUUAAAAAGCUCGUAGUUGAAUUUCGGGAUCAAUACGUCGGUCGUGCUUUCGGGUACGUACUGGCGUCAUUGGUUUCUCCUUUCUGACGAACCAUGAUGUCAUUAAUUUGGUGUUAUGGGGAGUUAGGACUGCUGCUUUGAAAAAAUUAGAGUGUUUAAAGCAGGCAUUAGCUUGAAUACAUUAGCAUGGAAUAAUGAAAUAGGACGUUCGAUCCUAUUUUGUUGGUUUCUAGGAUCAACGUAAUGAUUAAUAGGGAUAGUUGGGGGCAUUAGUAUUCAAUUGUCAGAGGUGAAAUUCUUGGAUUUAUUGAAGACUAACUACUGCGAAAGCAUUUGCCAAGGAUGUUUUCAUUAAUCAAGAACGAAAGUUAGGGGAUCGAAGACGAUCAGAUACCGUCGUAGUCUUAACCAUAAACUAUGCCGACUAGGGAUCGGAUGAUGUUAAUUUUUUAAUGACUCAUUCGGCGCCUUACGGGAAACCAAAGUGUUUGGG